CAGUCGCCACGGUAAUACGGAGGGGGCUAGCGUUGUUCGGAAUUACUGGGCGUAAAGCGCACGUAGGCGGCUUGGUAAGUUAGAGGUGAAAGCCUGGAGCUCAACUCCAGAAUUGCCUUUAAGACUGCCGAGCUAGCAGGUGAGAGAGGUAAGUGGAAUUCCGAGUGUAGAGGUGAAAUUCGUAGAUAUUCGGAAGAACACCAGUGGCGAAGGCGGCUUACUGGCUCAUACUGGACGCUGAGGUGCGAAAGCGUGGGGAGCAAACAGGAUUAGAUACCCGCGUAGUCCCUGUCUCUUAUAA
RNAcentral lists this ribosomal RNA (301 nucleotides) under uncultured bacterium. RNAcentral's name for it is "partial 16S ribosomal RNA". It matches the Rfam family "Bacterial small subunit ribosomal RNA", at positions 509 to 809 of the family's 1533-position model. The record is from RNAcentral.